GAUGAACGCUGGCGGCGUGCCUAAUACAUGCAAGUCGAGCGAACAGACGAGGGGCUUGCUCCUCUGACGUUAGCGGCGGACGGGUGAGUAACACGUGGAUAACCUACCUAUAAGACUGGGAUAACUUCGGGAAACCGGAGCUAAUACCGGAUAAUAUAUUGAACCGCAUGGUUCAAUAGUGAAAGACGGUUUUGCUGUCACUUAUAGAUGGAUCCGCGCCGCAUUAGCUAGUUGGUAAGGUAACGGCUUACCAAGGCAACGAUGCGUAGCCGACCUGAGAGGGUGAUCGGCCACACUGGAACUGAGACACGGUCCAGACUCCUACGGGAGGCAGCAGUAGGGAAUCUUCCGCAAUGGGCGAAAGCCUGACGGAGCAACGCCGCGUGAAUGAUGAAGGUCUUCGGAUCGUAAAACUCUGUUAUUAGGGAAGAACAAAUGUGUAAGUAACUAUGCACGUCUUGACGGUACCUAAUCAGAAAGCCACGGCUAACUACGUG
Molecule: ribosomal RNA, 497 nt
Filed under: uncultured bacterium
Lineage: Bacteria
Description: partial 16S ribosomal RNA
Rfam family: Bacterial small subunit ribosomal RNA
Source: RNAcentral